RNAcentral lists this ribosomal RNA (433 nucleotides) under uncultured bacterium. Its description in RNAcentral is "partial 16S ribosomal RNA". It matches the Rfam family "Bacterial small subunit ribosomal RNA", at positions 29 to 507 of the family's 1533-position model. The record is from RNAcentral.
AACGAACGCUGGCGGCAUGCCUAACACAUGCAAGUCGAACGAGACCUUCGGGUCUAGUGGCGCACGGGUGCGUAACGCGUGGGAAUCUGCCCUUGGGUUCGGAAUAACAGUUGGAAACGACUGCUAAUACCGGAUGAUGACGUAAGCCCAAAGAUUUAUCGCCCAGGGAUGAGCCCGCGUAGGAUUAGCUAGUUGGUGGUGUAAAGGCCUACCAAGGCGACGAUCCUUAGCUGGUCUGAGAGGAUGAUCAGCCACACUGGGACUGAGACACGGCCCAGACUCCUACGGAAGGAAGCAGUGGGGAAUAUUGGACAAUGGGCGAAAGCCUGAUCCAGCAAUGCCGCGUGAGUGAUGAAGGCCUUAGGGUUGUAAAGCUAUUUUACCCGGGAAGAUAAUGACAGUACCGGGAGAAUAAGCCCCGGCUAACUCCGUG